This 313-nucleotide ribosomal RNA is filed under the name uncultured bacterium. Its description in RNAcentral is "bacterial SSU rRNA". It matches the Rfam family "Bacterial small subunit ribosomal RNA", at positions 29 to 334 of the family's 1533-position model. The record is from RNAcentral.
AACGAACGCUGGCGGUGGGCUUAAUACAUGCAAGUCGAACGCGAAAAUUCCUUCGGGGAUGAGUAGAGUGGCGCACGGGUGAGUAACACGUAGGUGACCUAUCCUUAAGUGGGGGACAACCAGGGGAAACUCUGGCUAAUACCGCAUGUGAUAGACAAUUUUGAAAUUAGUCUAUGAAAGGUGGCUUCGGCUAUCGCUUGAGGAAGGGCCUGCGGAUCAUUAGCUUGAUGGUGGGGUAAUGGCCUACCAUGGCUACGAUGAUUAGCUGGUCUGAGAGGAUGAUCAGCCACACUGGAACUGAGACACGGUCCAG